GACAGGCAUAUAUUAGCAUAAAGACUCGUCUUUAGCGCUAAUUGUUAAAUAUGCUAGUCCUUUCAUGAUUAUGUGAUAGGUGGUGCAUGGCCGUUCUUAGUUCGUGGAGUGAUCUGUCUGCUUAAUUGCGUUUCACUAAGGGCCCAUAAAUUCAAGGUAUGUUAGCAAAUGCUGCUCUAUUGACCCCUAAUAGGCUUAACUGUCUUUAGCGCGUGUCUCUACGAGUUCUUUAAAGCACUGCGCAUGCUGUUGGGUCCUGAAAGCAACGAACGUGACCGCAACGUCUUGUUGCCUCUCUAUAAUACCUUCUUAUUUUUAAUAAGAGUAUUUACCUGAGGCUAUUUUAAAACUAGACGGACCGCUGUUUCUUUCUUAAACCAGAGGAAGGUUGCGGCAAUAACAGGUCUGUGAUGCCCUUAGAUGUUCCG
This 428-nucleotide ribosomal RNA is filed under the name Globorotalia inflata. RNAcentral describes it as "bacterial SSU rRNA". It matches the Rfam family "Eukaryotic small subunit ribosomal RNA", at positions 1242 to 1484 of the family's 1831-position model. Lineage: Eukaryota; Foraminifera; Rotaliida; Globorotaliidae. The record is from RNAcentral.